Molecule: non-coding RNA, 101 nt
Filed under: Lactococcus lactis
Lineage: Bacteria; Bacillati; Bacillota; Bacilli; Lactobacillales; Streptococcaceae
Also listed under: 1 other name
Description: TPP sequence
Rfam family: TPP riboswitch aptamer (THI element)
About the family: Vitamin B(1) in its active form thiamin pyrophosphate (TPP) is an essential coenzyme that is synthesised by coupling of pyrimidine and thiazole moieties in bacteria.
Source: RNAcentral
CUAAUACACAAUGGGUACUGAUAAUUUUAAAUUAUCGGUUGAGAAAGACCAUCAAACUUGAACAGGUUAAGACCUGCGUAAGAAUGUGUCCGAGUUUUUAU